RNAcentral lists this ribosomal RNA (256 nucleotides) under uncultured bacterium. RNAcentral's name for it is "partial 16S ribosomal RNA". It matches the Rfam family "Bacterial small subunit ribosomal RNA", at positions 524 to 777 of the family's 1533-position model. The record is from RNAcentral.
UACGUAGGGGGCAAGCGUUGUCCGGAAUCAUUGGGCGUAAAGCGCGUGUAGGCGGCUCGGUAAGUCCGCUCUGAAAGUCCGGGGCUCAACCCCGGGAGGCGGGUGGAUACUGUCGAGCUCGAGUCCGGGAAGAGGCGAGUGGAAUUCCUGGUGUAGCGGUGAAAUGCGUAGAUAUCUGGAGGAACACCGGUGGCGAAGGCGGCAUCCUGGACCGGCAUUGACGCUGAGGCGCGAAAAGCGUGGGUAGCAAACGAGG